GUAUGUAAAUUCAAUCAUUUCACUUUUUAUUGGAUUGAAACAUUUGUCUAAUCUUUUUAUUUUGUUAGGAUUUCCCCUCUUGUUUGUGACAGGAAACAAACAAGAAUUCUGCAUGUCAAGUGUUUGAAGAUAUUUCCGAGAGAUAACCCAUCAACCCAUCAAACCAUCAACCCAAUGCCGUUGAAAAACUUAUGGAACAUUUCUUUUCUCCUUGAGUAGGGGUGGUAGUGAUUUGACAACCACAACCAUUGGUAAAGCUCUGGGGUUGCGAGAAAUUCAGUCAAUUUGAGGAGAAGUUUGAGGUGAUCAAUGGUGAUGAGGCAUCCCCAAGUAUUCCUUUGACAUCAGGGUUUGAUGGAAAUUCAGCUGCACCAAUGGUAACUGAAGAAAGCAGAAAUGACAUUGAAAUGCAGGGUCAAGAAGAUCAUAGACUAUGCUCUGAUAUAAAUGCCUCACAAGACUUUGUGAGUGGGAUCAUGAAGAUUGUCCCAGAAGUUGAUGUGAGUCCUUGAAUUUAACCAAUUAUUAGUUGUUUUGGUUAUGAGGAUAUGCUGAAGUAUCACAUGAAGUAAAGCUGAAGGCUGGUCUGUUUGAUGUGGGCUUGGAGGACAUGAAGAGGGCCAGGCUACAAAAAUGCAGCAAUUCUUUGAGUGGUCCUCAAAAAGGAAAGUUGGUGUUUUUAAU
Molecule: non-coding RNA, 684 nt
Organism: Camellia sinensis
Lineage: Eukaryota; Viridiplantae; Streptophyta; Magnoliopsida; Ericales; Theaceae
Source: RefSeq, a predicted model, not a curated record